GGACAGAGGGAGUAUAAUUUUUGACUCUUCGUCUUAUUCAAAUUUUUUUUACGAUUAAUAUUUUUUUAUUAGAUGAUAAAUCAUGAAUAGUAUUUUACGUGUGACUAAUUUUUUUCUAAUUUUUUAAAAUUUUUUUAAAUAAGACGGAUGAUGACACGAAAAUUGAAG
Molecule: microRNA precursor, 168 nt
Filed under: Oryza brachyantha (malo sina)
Lineage: Eukaryota; Viridiplantae; Streptophyta; Magnoliopsida; Poales; Poaceae
Description: MIR812 microRNA precursor family
Source: Rfam by way of RNAcentral